UGAAGGCCUUCGGGUUGUAAACUGCUGUCACGCUAUAGGAAUGGCCUGUCGUUAAUAGCGGCAGGGUUGACCAAAGCGAGAGGAAGCACCGGCUAACUCCGUGCCAGCAGCCGCGGUAAGACGGAGGGUGCAAACGUUGUUCGGAAUUACUGGGCAUAAAGAGCGCGUAGGCGGUCUGCUAAGUCUGGCGUGAAAGCCCCCGGCUCAACCGGGGAACUGCGCUGGAUACUGGCGGGCUCGAGGACGGUAGGGGUGAGCGGAACUCCAGGUGGAGCGGUGAAAUGCGUAGAUAUCUGGAGGAACACCGGUGGCGAAAGCGGCUCACUGGGCCGUCUCUGACGCUGAGGCGCGAAAGCUAGGGUAGCAAACGGGAUUAGAUACCCCGGUAGUCCUAGCCGUAAACGAUGGGCACUAGGUAGGGGAGUUGCCUAUGGGCUUCUCUGCCGGAGCUAAUGUGUUAAGUGCCCCGCCUGGGGAGUACGCUCGCAAGGGUAAAACUCAAAGGAAUUGACGGGGGCUCACACAAGCGGUGGAGCAUGUGGUUCAAUUCGAAGCAACGCGAAGAACCUUACCUGGCCUUGACAUGCACGGAUUAGCUCCCUGAAAGGGGAGUAACAGCUCUUCGGAGUCGGAACGUGUGCAGGUGUUGCAUGGCUGUCGUCAGCUCGUGUCGUGAGAUGUUGGGUUAAGUCCCGUAACGAGCGAAACCCUUAUCGUUAG
Molecule: ribosomal RNA, 720 nt
Filed under: uncultured bacterium
Lineage: Bacteria
Description: bacterial SSU rRNA
Rfam family: Bacterial small subunit ribosomal RNA
Source: RNAcentral